GCUCAGGGGGGCAGGCUUGCGAGGCAAUUUCUGAUUGUCGGCGGCGUGCUGCUUGCCACCUCAUUAAUUCCGUGAUAUACUCUUGAGGUGCUUGUUGCCACUUGAUUACCUUCAUAAGUGUUAGCAGUUGAAGCAGGAAAGAUGGCUCAAAUGUUACAUCGAAAACCAUUUGUCA
Non-coding RNA from Caenorhabditis elegans, 175 nucleotides. The record is from Ensembl. Lineage: Eukaryota; Metazoa; Nematoda; Chromadorea; Rhabditida; Rhabditidae.